Molecule: ribosomal RNA, 427 nt
Filed under: uncultured bacterium
Lineage: Bacteria
Description: partial 16S ribosomal RNA
Rfam family: Bacterial small subunit ribosomal RNA
Source: RNAcentral
UGGGGAAUAUUGCACAAUGGGCGCAAGCCUGAUGCAGCCAUGCCGCGUGUAUGAAGAAGGCCUUCGGGUUGUAAAGUACUUUCAGCGGGGAGGAAGGUGUUGUGGUUAAUAACCGCAGCAAUUGACGUUACCCGCAGAAGAAGCACCGGCUAACUCCGUGCCAGCAGCCGCGGUAAUACGGAGGGUGCAAGCGUUAAUCGGAAUUUCUGGGCGUAAAGCGCACGCAGGCGGUCUGUCAAGUCGGAUGUGAAAUCCCCGGGCUCAACCUGGGAACUGCAUUCGAAACUGGCAGGCUAGAGUCUUGUAGAGGGGGGUAGAAUUCCAGGUGUAGCGGUGAAAUGCGUAGAGAUCUGGAGGAAUACCGGUGGCGAAGGCGGCCCCCUGGACAAAGACUGACGCUCAGGUGCGAAAGCGUGGGGAGCAAACA